UACCAGCACCCCGAGUGGUCGGGACGAUUAUUGGGGCUAAAGCAUCCGUAGCCGGUUUUACAAGUCCUCCGUUAAAUCCAGCUGCUUAACAGAUGGGCUGCGGAGGAUACUAUAAGACUAGGAGGCAGGAGAGGCAAGCGGUACUCAGUGGGUAGGGGUAAAAUCCGUUGAUCCAUUGAAGACCACCAGUGGCGAAGGCGGCUUGCCAGAAUGCGCUCGACGGUGAGGGAUGAAAGCUGGGGGAGCAAACCGG
RNAcentral lists this ribosomal RNA (253 nucleotides) under uncultured bacterium. RNAcentral's name for it is "partial 16S ribosomal RNA". It matches the Rfam family "Archaeal small subunit ribosomal RNA", at positions 474 to 727 of the family's 1478-position model. The record is from RNAcentral.